RNAcentral lists this unclassified non-coding RNA (421 nucleotides) under soil metagenome. RNAcentral describes it as "partial contains 5.8S ribosomal RNA, internal transcribed spacer 2, and large subunit ribosomal RNA". The stretch from base 1 to 120 matches the Rfam family "5.8S ribosomal RNA", at positions 35 to 154 of the family's 154-position model. The record is from RNAcentral.
GAUGAAGAACGCAGCGAAAUGCGAUACGUAAUGUGAAUUGCAGAAUUCAGUGAAUCAUCGAAUCUUUGAACGCAUAUUGCGCUCUUUGGUAUUCCGAAGAGCAUGCUUGUUUGAGUAUCAGUAAACACCUCAACCUCUUCUUGAUUUUUCAAAAGGAGGGUGGACUUGAGCUAUCCCAACAACCUUUACCGGUCGGCGGGCGGCUUGAAAUGCAGGUGCAGCUGGACUUUUAUCUGAGCUAAUAGCAUAUCUAUUUAGUCCUCGUCAAACAGGAUUAUUACUUUUGCUGCAGCUAACAUAAAGGAUAAUUGUCCUCUUUGCUGACUGAUGCAGGAUUUUACGACACUUUAUGUGUUGUUCAACUCGAUCUCAAAUCAAGUAAGACUACCCGCUGAACUUAAGCAUAUCAAUAAGCGGAGGA